AGUUUAAUGGUCUAGUGGUAUGACGUUCGCUUCACAAGCUUGUGAUCAACGCGCGAAAGGUCCAGGGUUCGAUCCCCUGUUAAACUA
This 87-nucleotide transfer RNA is filed under the name Didymosphaeria variabile. It matches the Rfam family "tRNA". From Rfam's summary of the family: Transfer RNA (tRNA) molecules are approximately 80 nucleotides in length. Their secondary structure includes four short double-helical elements and three loops (D, anti-codon, and T loops). The record is from Rfam by way of RNAcentral. Lineage: Eukaryota; Fungi; Ascomycota; Dothideomycetes; Pleosporales; Didymosphaeriaceae.